AAGACCCAGUCAGGCUGGGUUUGGAAGUAUCUUGUUAAUGCCUUCCUCUCCAUCCUUCACCCGCAGUUGCCUCAUUCCAAGUGAUCAACUAGGAUUUUAAUUCCUGAUAUAGUCAAGGCUUUUAAAAAUGACCACGCCAUAGAAAAGUAACUAAGAUACUCUUGUCCUGAGUUCCCGAGAAGCACAGGAUGACCAAGGGAUGCUGGUCUAACAUAAUCAGGUCUCAUGAAAAAGAUGGAGAGAAAUUUCUGGCAUCUUCUCCCUGCUUCUUCUCACCUGCUCUUACAAAGUAUCCUUAGUGGCCUUGUAAAAGAAGUCCUCGAGGUCCCCUUUGCCAUGGGAGAACACCACAAGAAGUCAGCCACCUAUGACCCCAGAUACUGCACCUCACCCCAUUUCAAGUCUGCAGUCCCUUCAACUUUGACUCCCAGUCUCAAGAGCUGUGAGACUAACUUGUGUAGAAGUCAUCUUGUCUGGGAUUCAUGUUAUAUGACAUCUCAGAUGGAUUAAAAGCUUUCCUAGCUCCGAGGCUACA
This is a long non-coding RNA of Mesocricetus auratus (golden hamster), 535 nucleotides long. RefSeq lists it as uncharacterized. The transcript has 3 exons. The record is from RefSeq and is a predicted model, not a curated record. Lineage: Eukaryota; Metazoa; Chordata; Mammalia; Rodentia; Cricetidae.